UUAACUCAUAUUUGUAUGGAGUGGGAUCGUUUGCCUACGUUUGCCGCUAGGGGCGCUGUUCCAACUGCAUACAAAAUUGGGAUA
Non-coding RNA from Bombyx mori (domestic silkworm), 84 nucleotides. The record is from Rfam. Lineage: Eukaryota; Metazoa; Arthropoda; Insecta; Lepidoptera; Bombycidae.